This is a long non-coding RNA of Hemibagrus wyckioides, 234 nucleotides long. RefSeq lists it as uncharacterized. Lineage: Eukaryota; Metazoa; Chordata; Actinopteri; Siluriformes; Bagridae. The record is from RefSeq and is a predicted model, not a curated record. The transcript is spliced from 3 exons.
CUGUUCAGCUGCUGCCCACAGAAGACGACCAAGACCCUUCACCUGUUUUUCUGCCGCUCGAUGCUGGUGAGCUGAUCGGCGCCUGCCGAAAUGUACAGUUCCUCUCUUCAGACCCCUCCAUCUCCCAGUUUAAGUCAGUGGACGUAAAGACCUACUUCUUGGGGAUGAUAAGGGGCCCACAGAGUCGUCUUUGCUGGUUUAUAACCACCACCACACACUGCUUGACUCACAUGG